UGAGGAACAUGACCUUCGGCGGGGGAUAGCCGGCCCAACGGCCGGGUAAUACCGCGUACGACCUUCCGGGGACAUCCCUGGAUGGUGAAAGCAGCAAUGCGCCGAUGGAGUGCCUCGCGGCCUAUCAGCUAGUUGGUGAGGUAACGGCUCACCAAGGCAACGAUGCGUAGCCGACCUGAGAGGGUGAUCAGCCACAUUGGAACUGAGACACGGUCCAGACUCCGUAGGGACGG
Molecule: ribosomal RNA, 233 nt
Filed under: uncultured bacterium
Lineage: Bacteria
Description: partial 16S ribosomal RNA
Rfam family: Bacterial small subunit ribosomal RNA
Source: RNAcentral